UACAGAGGUCUCAAGCGUUGUUCGGAUUCAUUGGGCGUAAAGGGUGCGUAGGCGGCGCGGUAAGUCGGGUGUGAAAUCUUGGAGCUUAACUCCGAAACUGCAUUCGAUACUGCCGUGCUUGAGGACUGGAGAGGAGACUGGAAUUUACGGUGUAGCGGUGAAAUGCGUAGAUAUCGUAAGGAAGACCAGUGGCGAAGGCGGGUCUCUGGACAGAUCCUGACGCUGAGGCACGAAGGCCAGGGGAGCAAACGGG
This 253-nucleotide ribosomal RNA is filed under the name uncultured bacterium. RNAcentral's name for it is "partial 16S ribosomal RNA". It matches the Rfam family "Bacterial small subunit ribosomal RNA", at positions 524 to 776 of the family's 1533-position model. The record is from RNAcentral.